GCUGGCGUAUUUUAAUGGCAGAAUACUCCCUUGUGGCGGGAUUGAUCUCGGUUCGAUUCCGAGCGCCAGCA
Molecule: non-coding RNA, 71 nt
Organism: Letharia columbiana
Lineage: Eukaryota; Fungi; Ascomycota; Lecanoromycetes; Lecanorales; Parmeliaceae
Source: the annotation of a RefSeq genome assembly